GUAGUCCACACCCUAAACGAUGAGUACUAGUUAUUGGGCUUUUUAAAGCUCAGUGACUUAGCUAACGCAUUAAGUACUCCACCUGGGAAGUACGAUCGCAAGGUUGAAACUCAAAGGAAUUGACGGGGGCCCGCACAAGCAGUGGAGCAUGUGGUUUAAUUCGAUGCAACGCGAAGAACCUUACCUAGGCUUGAAACGCAGAUUAAAUUCAGUGAAAGCUGUUGUCCCGCAAGGGGAAUCUGUACAGGUGCUGCAUGGCUGUCGUCAGCUCGUGCCGUGAGGUGUUGGGUUAAGUCCCGCAACGAGCGCAACCCUCGUCCUUAGUUGCCAUCAAGUAAUGUUGGGCACUCUAAGGAGACUGCCUACGCAAGUAGUGA
Molecule: ribosomal RNA, 377 nt
Filed under: uncultured bacterium
Lineage: Bacteria
Description: bacterial SSU rRNA
Rfam family: Bacterial small subunit ribosomal RNA
Source: RNAcentral